GUAAUCUCCAGAAUCUAUUCAAGAGAUAUUCGGAGAUUAGCUGAAUCCUACUCAAGAACAAAUUGACAGAUUUUUCCUCUAAAAACCAAAAAUUUCAGUUCAAAAACUUCAAAGCAUUAAAAGAAAAUUCAAAGAAUCAAGACAAAGUAGAAUGCAUAUGUUGAGGGGGAGAAUCUGAAAUUUUAAGAAAGCUAAAUCAUUAAUUAUAUAUAAGCCAAACAAUUGAUUGCAUGAUAUGA
This 239-nucleotide long non-coding RNA is filed under the name Phoenix dactylifera (date palm). Its description in RNAcentral is "long non-coding RNA (PDAC_LNC020312)". The record is from RNAcentral. Lineage: Eukaryota; Viridiplantae; Streptophyta; Magnoliopsida; Arecales; Arecaceae.